GCUUACGGCCAUAUAAGCCUGGGUACGCCCGAUCUCGUCUGAUCUCGGAAGCUAAGCAGGGUCGGGCCUGGUUAGUACUUGGAUGGGAGACCGCCUGGGAAUACCAGGUGCUGUAAGCA
RNAcentral lists this ribosomal RNA (119 nucleotides) under Salmo salar (Atlantic salmon). The record is from RNAcentral. Lineage: Eukaryota; Metazoa; Chordata; Actinopteri; Salmoniformes; Salmonidae.